AUGCUUCUUUGUGCCUUUUGUCACCUAAACCCCCAGAAUGCAUUGGGGCAAGGGAGUGAGGCGAUAAGUGUGAGGCAAAGAUGCAUUUGCUCCGCAGAAGUGGCCACGGUGCAGAUGUUGCAGGUUAUUUCCGUGAAGUUUCAUCAUGAUGCUGGGACACUGAACUCUGAAUUGUUCAUGCCGUUGAUUUCAAACCGUUAUUUGGCUAUCCUUGGAUCCUCAAACAGCCCAGCAAGAGCUUGUGCCUCUGUCCUAAAGACUUUAAGGCUUCCAGCUGUCAUUACUUUCUCUAAAACCAACCAAUGGACCAUUGAGAGCCAAGCCAGCACUAACCGGUAUUUUUGGACAGUGGAAGCUCUGAGUUGCCACCGAACGAGGGUAAACCUUUCCAAAAACACAGAGGAUAUUCUUAUUUUGUAUUGAGUCCUAAAUCUAUUGUUUGAUCUAAUUAUUCUGCCUCUAAGGCCCUAUUAUCCAGGCACUACUGAUGAAACCGAAGCGAAAAAAGGAGGCAGAGUGUGUCUCCUGGUUGUUUGAGACAUGCUAGGACAUCCAUAGCACAGAAAGAGAGAGAGAGAGAUAAAGAGCAAGAUAUAGAAAGAGAGUGAAUAAAAGAGUACUGAGUGAUUCAGUCACGUACAGCCCAGGCAUUAUCUAGCCAACAAUAAAAGAUUACAUCAUAUCAGCUGGCAUAAUUUCUUCAAGGUCUUUUAUUGAUUCUUUGAAUGGUGAGUGCAGCUGUUGAAAGUGUACAAAAGAAAGCCAUUGUAUUUACAGGAUCACAUCAGGAUUUUAUAGGCACACAGAAAUGAUUUGACGAUUCAGCUUUCAUUCGGAGGAUGAUCACAACUUUCAUGUGGCUUUGUAACAGGUACACAACACUCUAAUUAUGUUUAAUUCCUCUUUGCAUGCAAGAUGAGCCAGCACUCCUAAACUGAGAGCAAAAAUUUGACAAACUAGUGAGAAAAUACAUCACAGAUGAUUACACUCUCAUCUGUUGCUGUUACAAAUUCAAAGUAAAACAAGUAUUUUAAUUUAAUUUUAAAUUUAAACUAUCUGUGAAAUAAAUAUUGCAUUUGUCCCAAAUGGCACCCAUGUAGCUACAUUUUGGGUAGCAUAAUGAGAAAUAUACUAUUGGGUAGUAGUCCGCUGUGAAGUCUAGUGUGAAAUCAAGGGUGCAGUGGCGCAAAGAGGGUGCUGUUGAGCAUUCUUUUUAUAUAGUAAAAUGGCAAAAUUAGCAAAAUUUCGGCAAAAUUUAGCAGGCAACCAAGCAGCCAAAGAAACGAUGCAACAUAUUUGCAUGACUAACCAAUUCCUACAGAUAUUACUGGAAGCAAUGGUUAAAGUGACCAUGCCUGAAAGGGAUACUCCACCUCCAAAUGAAAAUGUUGUCAUUAAUCACUUACCCCCAUGUCAUUCCAAACCCUUAAAAGCUUUGUUCAUCUUCGAAACACAAUUUAAGAUAUCUAAUUGGAGUAGGGUGGAGUAAUUGUGUUGUGGCACAAAGUCCAGAAGUCCACAUGCAUAGUUUGGGAUGGACCAUAGUAUUGUUGUUGCCCUUAAAACUUCUGUGAGUAUCAGUGUGUUUGUGUUUGUUCCAACUGUCAAGGUACAGUCCUAUUGGUGAAAUUUUGUAGGCAAAAAGGGUCCACUGUCUGUUGUGAAUAGUAAUAGUAAUAGUAGCAAUAGUAUAGCAGCCAGCAAGCAAUAUGGCAAAUUCGUAUGACCAACUUGAACACGAGCGAAUUAUACAGGGCUAAUUUUCUCACCCUCAUGUGAAACUCAAUUACUGAAUUUUAUCUGUGAAAUUUUGCAGAGCAAUGGUACAUGUGUCCACAUCUUUAAAGUGUUUUAAAGAAAAGAUCACAAGUGCACAUGCACUAUUUAGGAAAGUCCCAUGUAUUGCUAUUGUCCUUAAAAUGUGAGUGAGUGUCCGUGCAUUCACGUCAACUGUAAUGGUGCGGCAUGAUAGGCUUAAUCUGUUGUGAAAUCGGCAUUGGGAAAUUCCCAAUUGCAGGAAUUCCAAUUAAAGUGACUGGUUUUUGUGUGCAAAAUUUCACAGAGCGAUGGUAAAUGUGACUGGACCUUAAGAAUCAAAACUCACUACUCAUUUUUGGAUGUGGUUAAGUGCAUAAUUUCUGCUCCACUAGUUGCAUCAAAAAGAACUGCAAUUACUUUUAGUGACACUAGUGAAAAAAGUUUAAAAUUAAUUGUUGUAAAUUGAAAUUGCACUGUGUAACAGGUUAAACCCAUCAAAGUCACUGACGAGUAAGAACAAGGUGGGCAGAGCUACUGAGGAGUGUAUUGAUACAUUCGGGGGUUUCUGAGUGACUUAGGACGAGGGGUCUCACACUCUGGACUGCACAAAUUAAGGUAAUUGUGAUUGGCUCAAGCCAGGGGUCGAUGAUUGAUUACUCAACUGAAGAGCAACAUCUGUUCUCUGUCAGUUGUCGACAGAUCACUUUGAUAACGUUUAAUUAUGCAGAGGAUCACUGGACCAGUUAGAUUACUGCUCAAUUACUCCAGAAAAUGGAAUUGAUAAGAGAGGACAAAAACAUUAAUGAUUUUGCGAGAUUGUUGCUAUGUGCAGAGAGAUUUAUUACCCUGCGACGAUGUAAAUUUGUAUGGGUUGGGUUUGUCCUCAGGGCACGACAAAUUCAUGCAAAAUACACCAGCAACUGGGGAUUAAUCUUUCAUAACAAACAGAAAAAUGGUUUCAUAUUUUUGAAUGUACUUGAAUAUGAAUGCUGGAAAUGAAUAAACAUGAUAUAUGUAAGAAAAACAAGAAUGUUUUAGUCAAAUCUAAUGCUCGAGAACUGAUUGUGAUGAAUACUGUAGAUGAAAAAUAUUUAACACCCACAUAAACCCUAACAGAAGUUGAAUUUAUGAAUUUAUGUAAGUCUUUUACAACUAUUAUGAACUACUUUAUUUUCCAAGGUUGCAUUCCUGUCCUUUGAAAUAACACAAAACUAGAGGAAGUGGAAAGAACUCUCUCUCUCUCACACACACACACACACACACACACACACACACACACACAGACACACACACACACACACAACCCUUCUGUGCAUCUCAGAGACUAUUGUGUUAUUUCGCUGCACUCAGGAUGAAUAAAGAACACAGAGGGGGACGCUGCCUGGUGGGACAGGAAGUAGAGACGCAGAGGGGAGCAACUUCACCUGCUGAUCACCUUCAGUCUGACCAGUGGAACUGGCCUCUGAUUGGACAUGUCUGAUAGCCCAUCCAAUUGAUGGGAAUGGGAGAGAGAGAAAGGAAGAGGAACCUGAUGACAGUUCCCUGCAGAGAUGAAACUCCUCAGAAGCGCUCAGAGAGAAGAUGACACUUCAUACCACAUCAUUUGAUAGGAUUCAGAGAGGGUUAUGGAUCCUGUCCAACACAGUCUCACUCCCUACUCGUCAAAUGUCUGACGCAUGGUCAAGGGACCCUGGCGUCACUUUUUAACGCACUGGGUAUACCUUUGGCGUCAUUUUUCAACGUGCAGGGUAGUCCGAUAGACUUCUAUAGAACUCAACAGUGUUGAAAUUUGACGUCUUGGGUCAGCACACCGCAACCCGUUGUCUGCCUUGUAUGGGUGGAGACUACAAUAAAUAAAAAUAAAAAGGAAUAGGCUACAAAAAAGGAUCUAUGCCAGGGCGAGCAAAUGGCGGCCCCCAGAUCAUUUUUAUCUGGCCCUCCAACUGGUUUUUUGAUGUUUAAAAACCCUCUCAAUCUGAUAUCAAAGUGCCCUCUGCGCAAAGGUUUAGCGCGUUCAUCAGCGGUGAGUUUAACAACACUCAACUGCAGGUAAAACGGCAUUCAGAGGUGAGUUUGACCAAAGCAACGCUCAACUGCAGGUAAAAGCAUUAAAAUGUGAGUUUAACAACGCUCCAAGGCGCGUGCAAGUAAGCAGUUUAAGCGUUUUAUUACAACCCAUUCUCACUCCUAAAGCGCCAAAAACUGACGCCUCUAGCGUCACUAUGAAGACGCCAAAGGCGCCCCUCGGCGUCGCUAUAUCGACGCACUAGGACCUACAUUGCUUUAAGUGGGAAACUUUUGGCGUCAGUACUCAGACGCGAAGGGCAUGAGAUGUUUAUCGCUAUGAAAUCACGUUCAAGAAGUCUCAUUCAGCGCACAUCGCGAUAUUUGCCAUCAGUUUACAUGUGCCACAGGUUGGGUGAGUAGUCGUAAAUACGCUGAUUUAAUGCCUGUUAUAAAAUGUAUUCCGUCUUCUUUAUUAAUCAGAAUAGCGCUGUAUGUUUCCUCGCUGUAUUAUAUCGGUCAUCCGAGGCUGUCUUUGAGUUUCAUUGCGUUUAACUAAAUGAAGACAGCUGCUAACUAGAGUGAUUAAACUCUAUCUGUCACGUGACGUGCCAUAGACCUUCGAUCCGUUUUAUAUUCAUAUCAGGUUCAAAGAUGUAAGUUGUAUUUGUAGUAAAAUCAUGGUAACCACGACACGUACAAUAGUAACAAAUGAAAUUUGAAGUUAAAAACCCAGGAACGGGACAUUUACCAUGUUUUUUUACCACAGUAACUGUAGUUUUACUAUGGUAUAGUAAUAGCACAAUAAUCACCAAACUAACUAUGGUUGUACAACUGUAAUGGUAGUGUUUUGAUGUGCUUUUAUAUGACAGAUAUCACAGUAAUCACAUUUACUGCACCAUGUU
This is a long non-coding RNA of Cyprinus carpio carpio, 4667 nucleotides long. NCBI's taxonomy places the organism in Eukaryota, Metazoa, Chordata, Actinopteri, Cypriniformes, Cyprinidae. The record is from Ensembl.